Molecule: ribosomal RNA, 253 nt
Filed under: uncultured bacterium
Lineage: Bacteria
Description: partial 16S ribosomal RNA
Rfam family: Bacterial small subunit ribosomal RNA
Source: RNAcentral
UACGGAGGAUGCAAGCGUUAUCCGGAAUGAUUGGGCGUAAAGCGUCCGCAGGUGGCAAUGUAAGCCUGCUGUCAAAGCGUCUGGCUCAACCAGAUAAAGGCAGUGGAAACUACAUAGCUAGAGUAAGGUAGGGGUAGAGGGAAUUCCUGGUGUAGCGGUGAAAUGCGUAGAGAUCAGGAAGAACACCGGUGGCGAAAGCGCUCUGCUGGACCUUAACUGACACUGAGGGACGAAAGCUAGGGGAGCGAAUGGG